GCGGAUGUGGCGGAAUAGGCAGACGCGCAGGCUUCAGGUGCCUGUGGGGGCAACCCCGUGGAGGUUCGACUCCUCUCAUCCGCA
This 84-nucleotide transfer RNA is filed under the name Phycisphaerae bacterium. Its description in RNAcentral is "tRNA-Leu". It matches the Rfam family "tRNA". From Rfam's summary of the family: Transfer RNA (tRNA) molecules are approximately 80 nucleotides in length. Their secondary structure includes four short double-helical elements and three loops (D, anti-codon, and T loops). The record is from RNAcentral. RNAcentral also lists the same sequence under 1 other name. Lineage: Bacteria; Pseudomonadati; Planctomycetota; Phycisphaerae.